CACUUCCAGUACAUGAUGUUUUGAUGUGGAAUAUUGAAAAUCAAAUAAGCAAAAACCAAAACCAUGACAAGCCGGUUCUGAAGAGCCCUUCCAUUUUUGAGAAGGCUGUGGGUUUAGUUCAGCAUCUCCAGAUGUGUCACACAGAUUCAAGGGCUUUCAAGAAGUCACUUCUUUGAAGUGUUGAAGAUGGUGAAUUCUGCUAGACAGAGCGCUUGUCUAAUCAAAUUCUGCUAGACAGAGCACUUGUCUGAUCAAACCUCUUAACUCCAAGGUUUGUUCUGCAGGUCCUGAUGGUGGCACAGGCAUUAAGCAGCCCAGAGCUCGUCACUGGGGAGAGGCUGCGCACUGUGUUGUGAAGGGAGAGAUGGAAGAGGGGUUUGAACAGCGUUGUGCAGGAAUGGAAAGCUGGUAAGAGAAGAGGUUACUGCCCUUCCAAGUGCGCUGCGGAUGGGCAGCACGAUGACAGCCCAAGGAUGGCAGCAGGAGAUGCAGCACAGCCCUCUCCAGCAGCAAGGUGCAUUUAUCUGUCUUGCUAAUUCUUGAAGUAGGUGUGUUUAGUUUCCAAAGUCGGUGGCAAGAUAGCAUGUUCUGAAGGCUUUGAGGCUUUUCCUCUGUUAUUCACAUCCUAAGGCAGUGAAGGACUUCCCUUGCUGUGUAGGAAUGGUUCCCGUGCAAGGACAUGGUCGUCUGCCUGGAACAGAUACUGAAGGCAGGAGACGGGCAGCGGUACUGCAGCUCCUCUGGCAGUUUUGCAGCUACGUCAGGAAGCAGAAGAUGUGGAUUGG
Molecule: non-coding RNA, 785 nt
Organism: Phasianus colchicus (ring-necked pheasant)
Lineage: Eukaryota; Metazoa; Chordata; Aves; Galliformes; Phasianidae
Source: RefSeq, a predicted model, not a curated record